UCUCCCUCAACUCUUCCUCCAUGCUUCCUAUUCUUUCUUCUAUAUCAGAGUUAAACAAACCCAAUCGUUUCUUCGACUGUGUACAUCAAAAUUAAACAAACCCGGUUGUUAAAUUUCUCUAUGCAGGGAAGAAGUCCUGCAAAUGGAGACUGCUGACUGAGCGUCGGACGAGUCUGAUGGUAUACUCUUGGGGUCAAAGUAAUUAUAGUUGCAUGGAAAUCAAUUUUUGGUUCUUCUCUAGCUACUGAUAGUCCCGUUCAAGGCUUAUCGGGAUUAGGCUGGAUCCAUAAAGCAUUUGUCAAGGAUCAUCCCGUGGUAUUAGAAUGGUUAAAAUGCAUUUUACAGAGUAAGCCUACAUGCGUGGUAAUCUCAGGCGGCAGAUGAUCAGAAGCCUGAGGUGGUUGAGCAUUCCCAUAAAAGUGGCCGAUCUUUAUAUUUUCAUUGUAAAAUGAGAAGUGAAGACGACAUUUAUUCCCCUUAAUAUCCUCAAUUCAAGGUUAAAGCGAAAAGAGAUUACUUAUUAGAAUCUCCAAAAGUUCUGGAGAAACAGGUUAAUCUUGCUUUCAGGGUGUAUUCACACCUAAAAUUGUUCCAGUUCUAGUAUUAUAUGUUAGUCAUGUGUUUUUGUCUUGUUUCAGUA
Long non-coding RNA from Papaver somniferum (opium poppy), 640 nucleotides. RefSeq lists it as uncharacterized. The transcript is spliced from 3 exons. NCBI's taxonomy places the organism in Eukaryota, Viridiplantae, Streptophyta, Magnoliopsida, Ranunculales, Papaveraceae. The record is from RefSeq and is a predicted model, not a curated record.